This 1180-nucleotide ribosomal RNA is filed under the name Salmonella enterica. RNAcentral's name for it is "partial 23S ribosomal RNA". It matches the Rfam family "Bacterial large subunit ribosomal RNA", at positions 711 to 1787 of the family's 2925-position model. Lineage: Bacteria; Pseudomonadati; Pseudomonadota; Gammaproteobacteria; Enterobacterales; Enterobacteriaceae. The record is from RNAcentral.
AGACCCGAAACCCGGUGAUCUAGCCAUGGGCAGGUUGAAGGUUGGGUAACACUAACUGGAGGACCGAACCGACUAAUGUUGAAAAAUUAGCGGAUGACCUGUGGCUGGGGGUGAAAGGCCAAUCAAACCGGGAGAUAGCUGGUUCUCCCCGAAAGCUAUUUAGGUAGCGCCUCGUGAAUUCAUCUCCGGGGGUAGAGCACUGUUUCGGCUAGGGGGCCAUCCCGGCUUACCAACCCGAUGCAAACUGCGAAUACCGGAGAAUGUUAUCACGGGAGACACACGGCGGGUGCUAACGUCCGUCGUGAAGAGGGAAACAACCCAGACCGCCAGCUAAGGUCCCAAAGUCAUGGUUAAGUGGGAAACGAUGUGGGAAGGCCCAGACAGCCAGGAUGUUGGCUUAGAAGCAGCCAUCAUUUAAAGAAAGCGUAAUAGCUCACUGGUCGAGUCGGCCUGCGCGGAAGAUGUAACGGGGCUAAACCAUGCACCGAAGCUGCGGCAGCGAACGUAUCACCCAAGACAACUUUACGGAGUUGACGAUUGACGGAGCGAAGCGACGUCAAAGCGUUCAUUAAAGUCGAGUUGGCUUAGGGAUACGUUCGUUGGGUAGGGGAGCGUUCUGUAAGCCUGUGAAGGUGUGUCGUGAGGCAUGCUGGAGGUAUCAGAAGUGCGAAUGCUGACAUAAGUAACGAUAAAGCGGGUGAAAAGCCCGCUCGCCGGAAGACCAAGGGUUCCUGUCCAACGUUAAUCGGGGCAGGGUGAGUCGACCCCUAAGGCGAGGCCGAAAGGCGUAGUCGAUGGGAAACGGGUUAAUAUUCCCGUACUUGGUGUUACUGCGAAGGGGGGACGGAGAAGGCUAUGUUGGCCGGGCGACGGUUGUCCCGGUUUAAGCGUGUAGGUGUGUGUUCCAGGUAAAUCCGGUUCACUUUAACACUGAGGCGUGACGACGAGGCACUACGGUGCUGAAGCAACAAAUGCCCUGCUUCCAGGAAAAGCCUCUAAGCAUCAGGUAACAUCAAAUCGUACCCCAAACCGACACAGGUGGUCAGGUAGAGAAUACCAAGGCGCUUGAGAGAACUCGGGUGAAGGAACUAGGCAAAAUGGUGCCGUAACUUCGGGAGAAGGCACGCUGACACGUAGGUGAAGUGAUUUACUCAUGGAGCUGAAGUCAGUCGAAGAUACC